AAUUGUUACUUGUUGAAUGUAUUUUAUUUCAUUUUGUUUUGGUAAAUAAGAAUAAAUCUAAGCUUAAUCUUUAUUAACAACCACCAAACACAAUGGAGCCUGCCAAGCGCUUUUAGUUACUUCGAAAAAAUUGUCAACACAAUGUUAUGAUUGGUUUGUGUUGACUUUGUAAUUAGUUAGGCCCAGAUAGACACAUCAACUGGGGCCACAAAGGAGUCCAAAAGUAACAUGGCCCGCAGGCACCAAUGCUGUACGGUGGCCAGAGUUUAUUAAUUUUUGGGGAAUACUCAGAACUAGAAAAAGACAAAACGAAAUGCAUUUAUGUCAGCAGACACCAGGAACCACAAAGAGAAAAAGUAUUGAGAGGAACUGGACAUGCCAAGCACUGUUGGUGUGCGCCUGUGAAGGACGAUAAAGUUUGUCCAGCAGAUUUGAGGAGUCCUCCUGCCCAAUCUCGACCACAUUGUUUGCCAUACACUUCAUUUAUUUGGAAUUAGACCAGGCACUCCACUCAGCUCCGCUGGAUGCACUCGAAUUUGAAUCCUUUAUGAAGCGUGGCACCAACAACUGGACCCAAAAACAGGACACGGCACACAUGCUCAUGCAUACACAUCUUCGCAGGACUGCACAAGUAGCCUCAGCUACUCCUCUGUUUCCCAGUUUGAGUCAACUUCGGGUCCAGUAUGUGCAGCAGACCAAAAACCAUUGAUUGUCAUCGAAUAGCCCCCCAGAAGUGGAAGAAAAAGCGCCAGGACGAGGCAGAUUAAGCUUAUUUUAAGAUUCCAACUGACUUGUACCGUGUAAUGCUUUGCAAGGGAUUAUUAAAAAUAUGUAAUAUAUUUAUUUUCUUUGAUGUAAUAAAUUUUGGAUGCGUAAUA
Drosophila yakuba is the source of this 878-nucleotide long non-coding RNA. RefSeq lists it as uncharacterized. The record is from RefSeq and is a predicted model, not a curated record. The transcript is spliced from 2 exons. Lineage: Eukaryota; Metazoa; Arthropoda; Insecta; Diptera; Drosophilidae.